Molecule: ribosomal RNA, 492 nt
Filed under: uncultured bacterium
Lineage: Bacteria
Description: partial 16S ribosomal RNA
Rfam family: Bacterial small subunit ribosomal RNA
Source: RNAcentral
AGUGAACGCUGGCGGUAGGCCUAACACAUGCCAGUCGAACGGCAGCACAGUAAGAGCUUGCUCUUACGGGUGGCGAGUGGCGGACGGGUGCGGAAUACAUCGGCAUCUACUUUUUCGUGGGGGAUAACGUAGGGAAACUUACGCUAAUACCGCAUACGACCUACGGGUGAAAGCAGGGGAUCUUCGGACCUUGCGCGAUUGAAUGAGCCGAUGUCGGAUUAGCUAGUUGGCGGGGUAAAGGCCCACCAAGGCGACGAUCCGUAGCUGGUCUGAGAGGAUGGUCAGCCACACUGGAACGGAGACACGGUCCAGACUCCUACGGGAGGCAGCAGUGGGGAAUAUUGGACAAUGGGCGCAAGCCUGAUCCAACCAUGCCGCGUGGGUGAAGAAGGCCUUCGGUUUGUAAAGCCCUUUUGUUUGGAAAGAAAAGCAGCAGGUUAAUACCCCGCUGUUCUGACGGUACCCAAAGAAUAAGCACCGGCUAACUUCGUG